GUUCUGCGGGGCAGCGGGGAGAUGCUCGCAUAACCACUUGGAUCUCCUGCCUCAGAUGGAAGCAAGCUUCCUUGUGAUGUUCCAGAAGGGAGUGUACCAGCAGAAAAUACCGUGACACUUCCUAUACCACGAGCUGGAGGGUGGACCAGAAUUUAUUCCCCACCUCUCAGGACGUAGCCUGUAUUUCCAACAGGGCCAGCCAUGAUGCUGCUUCGCGUCUUCCUGACCUGGACUGGCCAUGUUCUUGCCAGAGAAAGAAAUGGAGUCGUUUUACUCCUCAUCUCCGAAGUUAUGUACACCAGCAUCACCCGCUAUAGAAAUUACAUGGCGACGAGUUCAAAGGGUAAUUUAUGGAGCAUGGACAGUAAGUGGGGUGUGUGUUCUGUCCUUCCUAAAAAAUCCCAGACGAGGGCAGACUUAGGAAUAAUUUUCAAAAAUCAGGAAGUCUGCGAAAAUCCCCCCACUGUCUUAUAAAGACUGCAUGCUGCUCAUCAAAUCUCCUAAGACCUCGGGGUCCCUCCCCCUCUGAGGAGGUCCCUGGACCUGACUCCUAAUGGCCAAAACCAAAGAACGCAGGCACCUGCCUCCAGCAAAUCCACUCAGAUUCCCUCUCAUUCCCAGACACAAAUUUCCAUGAAAACCAGACACAGGACAGAAAGCAGAGCAGGAUAUUCCAAAAUCGCUUCAGAUCUGCAGCCUGGUUUCAUUAGACUCUCCGGCUUGUUUCUUUUAGCCCCUGUGCAUGCCCACGGCAGGUGAAAUGUCGGCACUGCCGUCUACACCCAUGAAGUCCGUAGGCUUAAGGAAACCCGCCCGGUGCAGGAGAGAUAGGAGACUGUGGUGCCGAGGGGGACAUGGGUCUGUCCAGGAGUCAGCAGGAGGAGGGAGGCCCUUAGUGAUGCUCUGAAUCCUUGACGAGGUGGCUCUACGGGGUGUUACUUGUCAUGUCACUGAACCCAUCCCCACCGCCCUAGAGCAUACCAAAGCUGUUCAGCCCGAAAGGAAAAACUCUACAGUUGUCGUUAUUAAUCCAAGUCUAACUAAAGAUCGCAGCUUCCAAGAGCACACGUUGGCCACACGUUGGUUAUUUCUCACCCACGAACACCCAACCUGAGAAGCUGAUAGGGAAUGCAUUUGGGGGUGGGUAGGAGGCAGCCCCGCUGGCUUUCUGUCCCUUUCGUCAUGCAACAAUCCUGCACUCAGCACUUGGUCUCCAAGGUCCUCCCUGAUGAAGGCGCAAGGACCCAGCACAGAAGCAACUGGACACUAACCCCUUGCAAGCCACCAGGCCAGCCUCAGGUUCUAGUGGCCAGCCAUGACACGGAUUUUCCUCCAAGACUUCAAGCGCAUGUGGCUUACAUCAACGUGGUCUCGCACCCACGCUCCACGGAGACCACUUGCCUCGCACAUUCUCCUAUUUACACAUGUUCACUGAACGCAACCCCAAGUGAAUUAUUUAAGAAGUCUUAAUGUGCUUCAGACUUCUCAAAUAGAAUUUCGACCUUAAAUUAAAUGCGUACUCCCGUGGGAAACCGGGAGGAGGAACUCAGCCCACGGCAUCAGGUGGACAGGCAGCGGCCCCAGAAGAGAAUUUCAGUUUACCUCUGGAAGGAUCUCCUCUGCUGGCCCAGGCUCCGUGUUGAACAGAACAGGAUUCGACUGCAAAACUGCAUUUGUUAUAGCGGAGCCGACUGCACGCAAGAGAUUUAUCUUUAUAUAUUUAUAUAUUUAUAAAGAUAAUCUUGCUUUUUGGUUUGUCCCUCAAUGGCCUUCCAAGGAAGCACCCGAGCCACCAAAGCGGGGUCACAGCAUAGACGAGAACACACAGCCCUGUUCCUUAGUUUUGAGGGAUAGCAGCACCUCAAGAAUGCUAUUCUUCCAAAUGAUAAAUUGCAUUAUUCUCAAGAAACUGUCUGCAUGCAAAACAAGAAAUCUGUCAUCAUCCUGGAAUUAUAUUUAAACAGGGAAUAUUCGAGGAAGAUUUUUACUCAUGAAGUUGUCAGAGCAUGAUUCCAAUAAAAGCAGCACCACGCGUUACCAGGCGUGCAAAGCUUCUGCCUGAAAGUAUUUACUUUGUUCCUUAAAAGUAUGUAGUGAGUCAACAGGAAAUUAUAUAUACAUCUUCCCUCCGAUUAGAAAACUGCAAAUUGAGUACUAAAUAUGUCAUGCUAGCACUCAAUUUCUUAUUGCUAUCAUAUCUGGCUCCACAGUGAUACGCUGGGUGGGAUCCAAAGGAGACACCAAGUAACAAAAUUCUACUCCUGUGUCGAGUUAUAUAAUGGAUUUCAUGGUUACUGAUUAUAUUAAAUAUAAUCCCCUAGCCUAAGAUUCUAAACCUGCACUGUCUAAUCAUACAACAACCACUAGCCACGUGUGGCCACUGAGCCCUUGAAAUAUGGUCAGUCCAGACUGAGAUGUGUUGUAAGUGCAAACUCCACACUGGAGUUUGAAGAUUUAAUAUAAAACGUAAUAAUAUAAAAUGCCUCACCAAUAUUUAUAUGCAUUGCAUUGAAAUGAUAAUAUUUUGGACAUGUUGUGUUACAUGAAAUAGAUUAUUAAAAUUAAUUUAACCGGUUUCGUUUUCUUUCUAAUGUGGCUACUGGAAACUUUAAACAUUGGCCCCUGGAAAUUUUAAUGUGGCUACUGGAAAAUUUAGAACGAGCCAUGAGACUUGCGCUCCACUUUCUCUGCCCAGCGUUGCUGCCUUGAUUGACCUUCCACCGUCUCUGCCCCUCUGGCCCCUGCUUCCUCCUUGUCACUUUCGGGAGUGGGCCCUCCUCUCUGACCAAGGGAGUUCUGGAACUCGAUUCUGCGAGUCCUUACUACCUGUGUCCAGCACUCCCAAGCCUCACCCUGAUAUUCCGGAAAAUGGGGGCAAUAAGGGCCCCUCCUUCAAAGAGCUGUGGUGGGGGUGACUCUGACAACCCACAGCCCCAGCCUCCACCAUCUGGUGCAGACAUUGCCGUUAGGAUCCUGCAAACACCACACUCACUCUCCCUUCCCUGUUGCAAGACCAUUUCAUUCCCUACCUUGCAACUUCACACUUGGGAUACUGAGAUAAGUGUCUAGAUUGGUCCCUCCAAAACCGGGGAGGGCCCUGUGGGUCCCAUGCUACAUGACCCAGCUCCUGGGCAACACUUCCAAUGCUCCUAGCACCAGCAAUGCCUGACUCCCCUGCCCUGCCCGCCAGCCCCCCUACCCACUCCCCCCCAGCCCUGCCUAGAGAGCCAACACAGGGCACGGGGCAGCUCUAAUGCCUCCUCCCUCGGGAAGCACUCUCUGAUCUUCCUACGGUGUGGUUUAGAUCACUCUUCGUACGAUUUUUGUAAGAUGGGCUAUUUUAUUUAUACUCUACCUUGUUUAAAAAAAAAAGAUUUAAAGUGAUCUACAAGGAUAUAUG
Mirounga angustirostris (Northern elephant seal) is the source of this 3400-nucleotide long non-coding RNA. RefSeq lists it as uncharacterized. The transcript is spliced from 3 exons. The record is from RefSeq and is a predicted model, not a curated record. Lineage: Eukaryota; Metazoa; Chordata; Mammalia; Carnivora; Phocidae.